This 254-nucleotide ribosomal RNA is filed under the name uncultured bacterium. RNAcentral's name for it is "partial 16S ribosomal RNA". It matches the Rfam family "Bacterial small subunit ribosomal RNA", at positions 527 to 779 of the family's 1533-position model. The record is from RNAcentral.
CGAAGGGGCUAGCGUUGCUCGGAAUUACUGGGCGUAAAGCGCACGUAGGCGGAUAUUUAAGUCAGGGGUGAAAUCCCAGAGCUCAACUCUGGAACUGCCUUUGAUACUGGGUAUCUUGAGUAUGGAAGAGGUGAGUGGAAUUCCGAGUGUAGAGGUGAAAUUCGUAGAUAUUCGGAGGAACACCAGUGGCGAAGGCGGCUCACUGGUCCAUUACUGACGCUGAGGUGCGAAAGCGUGGGGGAGCAAACAGGAUU